GGCGAGGUAGCCAAGCGGUCUAAGGCGCUAGACUAAGGUGUCGAAUAGCAACUGAAAUCUAGUUCUUCGGAGCGCGGGUUCGAAUCCCGCCCUCGUCA
RNAcentral lists this transfer RNA (98 nucleotides) under Rhizoctonia solani 123E. It matches the Rfam family "tRNA". Rfam says of the family: Transfer RNA (tRNA) molecules are approximately 80 nucleotides in length. Their secondary structure includes four short double-helical elements and three loops (D, anti-codon, and T loops). Lineage: Eukaryota; Fungi; Basidiomycota; Agaricomycetes; Cantharellales; Ceratobasidiaceae. The record is from Rfam by way of RNAcentral.